UAACUUUACAAGUUCUAGAAUUGGUGAAUGAAUGAGCAUUAAGCAUUUUCUUUCGACUAGGCCCAGACUACACAUUUUGAAAUAUAUUAUUUCAGUUAAUCAUCAAACAACCCCAAAUAUACAUAUUAUAACUCCCAUUUUACAGAUGAGAAAAUAGGCUAAGAGAAGUUAAGUGAUUUACCUAAGGAUAUUCCAGGUGGAGGACAACAAGUUGAGAGGCAAAUUUGGAAUUGUUGGAGCAUAGAGUGCUGGGAAGAAGGCAGGUGGAGGAGGUUCAGCAAAAUAGAUCUGGAAAGACAAGCAAGGGCUGUAAUAGGAAAC
RNAcentral lists this long non-coding RNA (321 nucleotides) under Homo sapiens (human). Its description in RNAcentral is "non-protein coding lnc-DCSTAMP-4:1". The record is from RNAcentral. Lineage: Eukaryota; Metazoa; Chordata; Mammalia; Primates; Hominidae.